UGGGGAAUAUUGCACAAUUGGCGCAAGCCUGAUGCAGCCAUGCCGCGUGUAUGAAGAAGGCCUUCGGGUUGUAAAGUACUUUCAGCGGGGAGGAAGGGAGUAAAGUUAAUACCUUUGCUCAUUGACGUUACCCGCAGAAGAAGCACCGGCUAACUCCGUGCCAGCAGCCGCGGUAAUACGGAGGGUGCAAGCGUUAAUCGGAAUUACUGGGCGUAAAGCGCACGCAGGCGGUUUGUUAAGUCAGAUGUGAAAUCCCCGGGCUCAACCUGGGAACGGCAUCUGAUACUGGCAAGCUUGAGUCUCGUAGAGGGGGGGAGAAUUCCAGGUGUAGCGGUGAAAUGCGUAGAGAUCUGGAGGAAUACCGGUGGCGAAGGCGGCCCCCUGGACGAAGACUGACGCUCAGGUGCGAAAGCGUGGGGAGCAAACAGG
This 429-nucleotide ribosomal RNA is filed under the name Chloroflexota bacterium. RNAcentral's name for it is "Chloroflexi bacterium partial 16S ribosomal RNA". It matches the Rfam family "Bacterial small subunit ribosomal RNA", at positions 355 to 776 of the family's 1533-position model. Lineage: Bacteria; Bacillati; Chloroflexota. The record is from RNAcentral.